CUUGUGAGAAAGGCAAAUACUUAGGCCCCACCCUAAACUUCUUGAACAUGAAACUCUGGGGGUGGAGUCCAGAAAUCUGCCUUUUCAC
This 88-nucleotide microRNA precursor is filed under the name Loxodonta africana (African savanna elephant). Its description in RNAcentral is "miRNA (ENSLAFG00000024697.1)". The record is from RNAcentral. Lineage: Eukaryota; Metazoa; Chordata; Mammalia; Proboscidea; Elephantidae.